Molecule: long non-coding RNA, 1325 nt
Organism: Podarcis raffonei (Aeolian wall lizard)
Lineage: Eukaryota; Metazoa; Chordata; Lepidosauria; Squamata; Lacertidae
Exons: 2
Source: RefSeq, a predicted model, not a curated record
GUCAAUGGGCAGGGAGUUCCAGAGUGUAGGAGCUGCCCCAGUAAAAUACUGGAUCCUUACAAAUGCAGAAUGUGCAUUGCAUUGCACCUGCAAAAGUGUAAGUUCCAUAAAACAAAGUGGUUGAGUGGGCAUAUAUGGGCUAAGGCAAUCCUGCAAGUGAACUGGUCCCAAGAUGCUAAAGGCUUUAUGUACUAACCCUUACACCUUGAACUUGGCCAGUGAUGAAUUGGUAGCCAGUGCAGACCUUUAAACAGCAGUGUUAUGUGCUGGCAGGAUCUUAUCCCUGUCAACAACCAUGCUGAAAAUUUCUGCACCAACUGCAGGUUCCAGACAAUCUUGGAAGUCACUAGUACCCGCACUGCUGUGCUUAUGGUCUCCUAUCAGUGAUAAAUUUAGAUCCUGAAGCACCCCCAAACCACAUCCUGUCCAGAACUUCAUCCUGUCCAAUUUCUCAGAAAUGGGAACUACUCACCCACAACUCCUCUGACUUCCUUGGAUUCAAGCUCAGCCUAAUUUCCCUUAUCCCUCCCACCUCUUCAUUCUGACAGCAGUCCAGGGUUUGGAGGCCCUCACCUGAUGCAGAUGCUAAGCAGUAAUAGAGCUGAGUGCUGUAAUAGCCUUGGUGCUUUGCCUCAAAUCGCCUAAUGACUGCUCCCAGUGGCUUCUUAUAGAUAUUAAACAGCACUGAGGAUACAACAAGUGCAUUGAGGCACCCCAUAGUAUAACUCUCCAAAUGCUACUCUCUGAAUUUGGCCAUGUAGAUAGAACUGAAGCUGCAUUAGCACAGGGCCCCCAAUUCCCAUCCCAUAGGGCAGGAGGAUACCAUGGUCAAAAGCAGCUGAGAGAUAAGAAGCAGGAGCAAGGUCACACUUGUCCCACUCUCAGUAACGGCUACCCAUCAGGGCAACCAAGGCCAAUAAUUGACUUUGGCAGUCAUGCCUAGACGCAGAUUAAAAUGGGUUCAGAUAGUCUACGUCAUCCAAGAAUACCUUCAGCUGGCCCACUAUAUAUUAACAUGCUUUUCUACUGAAUAGGUUUCUUUUCCAGAAAUUGUGGUUUACUGUGUUAGGUUUCAAUCAUUUUGUGACAAUUAAUUUUGCAAGUACAAAUUGAAACCGGCAAAAUAUUAUGGUCCUAGGUUGUGAUGACUCCCUCAUUCUCUUAGAAUGGAAAUGGUGCCCACCUGAGAGGUGCCAGAACUGAGUACCAAUGAUGCCUCACUCGUGGGGAGUGGUAGAUGAAGAGAAAAGGAAGAGACCGCUCUCUGCAACACACACAGCAUGGAGGUUUUCAAAAAUAAAAUGCCUUCUCUUCUUGAAAAAAUG